RNAcentral lists this ribosomal RNA (502 nucleotides) under uncultured Verrucomicrobiota bacterium. Its description in RNAcentral is "uncultured Verrucomicrobia bacterium partial 16S ribosomal RNA". Lineage: Bacteria; Pseudomonadati; Verrucomicrobiota. The record is from RNAcentral.
CACAGAGUUAGCCGUCCCUUCCUCUUCGGCUACUAUCGAUCUCCCGGGCAGUUACUCCCAGAAGCCUUGUUCACCAAUGACAGGAGUUUACAAUCCGAAAACCUUCAUCCUCCACGCGGCGUCGCUCCUUCAGGGUUGCCCCCAUUGAGAAAAAUUCUCGACUGCUGCCACCCGUAGGUGUCUGGACCGUGUCUCAGUUCCAGUGUGGCUGGUCGUCCUCUCAGACCAGCUACCCGUCAUCGCCUUGGUGAGCCGUUACCUCACCAACUAGCUGAUAGGCCGCGGGCCCAUCCAAGAGCGCCAGAUUGCUCCGGCUUUAGCGUCCCAGGAAAUCUCCCGGUAGCCACAUGCGGUAUUAAUCCGCCUUUCGGCGGGCUAUCCCCCACUCCAGGGCAGGUUGCCCACGUGUUACGCACCCUUACGCCACUAAACUCCUCCAGUAUUGCUACUAGAAAAACGUCCGUUCGACUUGCAUGUCUUAUCCACGCCGCCAGCGUCGUUC